This 460-nucleotide ribosomal RNA is filed under the name uncultured bacterium. Its description in RNAcentral is "partial 16S ribosomal RNA". It matches the Rfam family "Bacterial small subunit ribosomal RNA", at positions 338 to 795 of the family's 1533-position model. The record is from RNAcentral.
CCUACGGGUGGCUGCAGUGAGGAAUAUUGGUCAAUGGGCGUAAGCCUGAACCAGCCAAGUCGCGUGAGGGAUGAAGGUUCUAUGGAUCGUAAACCUCUUUUAUAAGGGAAUAAAGUGUGGGACGUGUCCUAUUUUGUAUGUACCUUAUGAAUAAGGAUCGGCUAACUCCGUGCCAGCAGCCGCGGUAAUACGGAGGAUCCGAGCGUUAUCCGGAUUUAUUGGGUUUAAAGGGUGCGUAGGCGGCCUUUUAAGUCAGCGGUGAAAGUUUGUGGCUCAACCAUAAAAUUGCCGUUGAAACUGGGGGGCUUGAGUAUGUUAGAGGUAGGCGGAAUGCGUGGUGUAGCGGUGAAAUGCUUAGAUAUCACGCAGAACCCCGAUUGCGAAGGCAGCCUGCCAGGCCAUGACUGACGCUGAUGCACGAAAGCGUGGGGAUCAAACAGGAUUAGAUACCCCAGUAGUC